UCCCAAGACGAUAUUUUUUCUGCAAUUGAUCUCAGAAGUUAAGCAGGGUUGGGCCUGGCUAGUACUUGGAUGGGAGGCUUCUGGGAAUGCCAGGUGCCACAGGGG
This 105-nucleotide ribosomal RNA is filed under the name Periophthalmus magnuspinnatus. The record is from RNAcentral. Lineage: Eukaryota; Metazoa; Chordata; Actinopteri; Gobiiformes; Gobiidae.